Molecule: non-coding RNA, 30591 nt
Organism: Cinara cedri
Lineage: Eukaryota; Metazoa; Arthropoda; Insecta; Hemiptera; Aphididae
Source: the annotation of a GenBank genome assembly
CCGCCGUACGCUGUGCAAGUCGUCCGCCGCCACCGUCCGCACAGAGCCGAGGUAAACUGCACGGAAACAACAGCCGGAGAGAAGAGAGCUCAACGACUCGUCGCGACCGUCGCAAAACUCCGCUAAGCAAACGCGCACGGAAAACGGUACGCGACUAUAAUUGUUCGUAUUAUUAUUACUGCCUACAACCAGGUAGUUUAUUUUCGUUUACAUUUAAUCAUAUCACUAUUAUUGUUGUUGUUAUUAUUAUUAUUAUUAUUACUAUUAUUAUCGUUAGUAUUAUUAUUAUUAUUUAUAUUAGUAUCAUUAUCACUUACGGGUAUCUGCGAACCGUAUUAUCAAUUCGUUUCGCGCAAUAUAAACACAAAUAAACAUUGCACUUCGCUCUCUGGUCGAGUUUGGGGCAAACGCACCAAUAAUUCAUUUUAUAAUAUGGAACAAAUGAAUGAUUUUUUUUUAAAUUUUCGUAUUUAUCGUAAAAAAAAAAAAAAAAAAAAACGAACGAAACUCAAUUGUUCCUAAAUAUAACCAUUGUAGUAACUUAUUAAUAAAUGAGAAUUUUAAAAUAGAACUUUAUUUUUUAUACUUGUUUAAAUUUCAAAUUGUGAUGAAAAUCGUAAAAAUCACGGCAUUUCGCUUUACCUAUUAUUUUCAUGUGGAUUAAUAUAAAAAUUUGAAAAUGAAAAAAAAAAUCGAAAAUUUAUUGCAAUGUUCUAGGUAUCUUUACGUAACAGAUUAAUACAAUUUUCAAUUCAUGUUUAUUAAACCAUGUUUAACUAUAUUUCGCUCAGGAUUGUUUUACGAUGGCAUAGAUGAUUUUCUAACGUCUCAUACGAACAUGAACUAAACUACGUUUUCUAUAAUAUAUCUAUCUUUUGUUAGUUUUUUCGUUUUUCUGGUGAAAUGUUUCGCUUGCUUCAACAAUAAGUUCGUAUUGACAUUGGACUUAUACUAAAAUUUCGUGGAUAUUUUCGCCGUGCUCUAUGUAAACUAUGAUUAAACCGUGAAUAAUGCGUACAUAUUACAAUUUAAUUUUUCGUACACUUUCAACUGUGUAAAUGUGUCGAGUUUUUAUUGGGUGACGGAAGGGUUGUUUAAAUUAACCAUGGGAAACUUAAAAUGACUAACGAGCGAAACCUUAUAAAACGUUUAAACUUUUCACACUUUAAACGCUUAAUAAAAUAUGUUUAACGUUUACUGCACUCGUUAUUAUAUAGAGGUACUCGUGUUUAUUGUACUUUUUCAAUUUUUCUCGAAUGCGGCCAACUGGGAAUAUACGGACCAAUUUAUUGGUGGUGCGACAUGUAUCCCCUGAGCAUGAGUGUACUCGUUUUCGAAUUCAAAUCGUCCCAGUGUGUCUCUCGAGUCGUUUCGAUAAAACUUUUAAAAGCUAACCGUCUCUAAAAAAAAAAAAAAAAGUAUCGUAAACAUUUUUAUAAUAAUGAUCUCUUAUUAUAUACACAAUGUAUAAUAAACGCUAUACAUUUAAUUCGUUGUAAAAUUAGUGAAAAACUGCUGCGCCGGGUGUAUUUAUAAUUUUCUUUGUAUUAAACCAUAAUAUAGUAAUUAUCGCUAUGUAUAAAUAGAUUUCGAAUAUAUUUGAUUUUGGGUUUUUUUUCUUUGAAAGUUGAAAUCCUUUAAAUGAGCUUGUUUACAAUAGUUUUAAAAAUUCACAUUGUUUUUAUCAUUAUUCCACAAAAUACAGAAUAAUAAUAAGUCAUCUAUAUCAUGUCUAUGGGAUUUUCGAGUUGUAGAUAAUCCGAAUUUCCGAAAUACCAAUUCUAUUAGAGAAAAUUGUUUUGAAAAUGUUCGUAUGCAAAACACAUUAAAAUAUCCAAUGUACCAGAUAUUAAUAACAUUAAUAUUAAAAAAGUUUUUUCAUACAAAAUAUUAAAUACAUAAAAUCGACGGUCCCGGGCUAGAAGGAUUUAAGUAAAUUGCGUUUAGUUAUCAAUAUAAGCGAAUUAAAUUUUUGAAAAAUGAUCAAUGGCAAAAUAACAUAACUGCAUGUUAUCAUUGAUAUGACUUGAUAUGUUUUUUUUCGCCAGAGAAAAGUUCAUCAUAUUUAUUUAAUGCUUUUUUAAAAUUUUAAUGGGUGUAACAUGUUUCGGAAUAUUAAUGUCAUUUGGACCAAAAAAAAAAAAAAAAGGCAAAUAUGUUGCAUAAAAUAAAAUUAUAAAAACAAAAUUUUAAAAACCGAAUUGAGCUCUUCUUCCCUGGUAUCACAGUUAUUAUAGCUUAACCAAUUAAUAACACAAUCGUGUUAAAAUCUAGAACAGUACCGUAUCUGGUACACUACGAACUCUUGAUGACUCGACAAAAUUUUUUUCUUUUAUUUUGAUAAUAAAUCGUUGAUAGUUUUUCUGUAUCUGUAAAAUUGUCGAAUCUUUAUAAUUAUAUUUUACUUUUUUCCAUAGGUAUACAGUUGAUAAACAAACGUAGACACUUAUUAUCUCGGAAAGUAUUAACUUUUCGAAAAUUUGUUUUUGGAACAUUUAUGAAAUAAUAAGUAGCUCUAAAAUAUUACAAUUUUGGUAAUUUUUUGUCACCUUUAUUUUGAGAAGUGAAAUCACCAUACACAUUUAAUUUUUAUACGGCAACCUGUAGUAAAAACUCCAUAAACAGAUCAAACAUUUUUGGUGUUUACAUUAUUGAUUUCCGAAUUUUAUGGAAUUUUUGUAUAGACUGCCAUUUAAAAAAAACGAAAACAGACACCCGUUGAACCUUCUAAAAUAAGGGUGACAAAAACCUAAGUAAUGUAAGAAUUAAGAGCCGUACUUACUUCUUAAAUUCCAAAAAAACAAUUAAUAUUUUCCGAGAUAAUGAGUGUUCAACACGGCGGACACUCGUUCGUCCCGUAUAGAUUACAAGUGUGUAUCUACGUGCAUUUUGCAUUAUAAUGUAGUAAACAACAAUACGGGUUAUUUAUUAUUCUAUUGUAUGCGAUUUAAACUUAAGGGACACAUAAAAAAAAAAAAAAUUCUUCCGGCUUGUAAACGGUCUUUGUCAAUGGCUUUUUUUUUUUUUCCAUUUCCUAUUCCUAUUUGUUAGGUUGAACACGGGUAUUUGUAGCUGUGUACUGCACAGCACAGUGUUUACUCGGUGCCGGAAUCCAUAGUGCGAAAUAAAAUUAAUCUGUAUGAAUGAGUUCGAGUAUUAUACAUACUGUAUGUAAAAACAACUCGAGUAUUACUAUUGAAAAAAAAAAAAAUAAACAUUUUAUCCGAAUAUAACCGUCGCUAUACAUAACUGAAUUGAAAUACAUAUUUCUUCAGUUGCGCGUCAUGACUGGCAUAAAUUAUUCUUCGAUAAUUCGAUACAUACGUGCGUCGUAUUAUUCGAUUUUGCGAUAUCGAUAAUGUAAUUUAUUCGUCACGGAUCGCGUUUUUUUUUUCUUCUUUUAUUUCAAGCUUCGAAAAAAAAAAAAGCUGAUACUGCUAAUGGGUCUGCGCUACUGUUGUAGGAGGGAUAGUGAAAGGUCGGAUAUAUAGGGUAAUUUAAUUUUUAUCUGAACGCGACGAAAGUCUAAUGCUAACGAAAAACGAUUAUAAACAGCGAACAGAAUAUUUUUGGUCGUUUGUUUUUCUUUUCGUUAAAGUAACGGUGAAAUCAACAAAACUGGAAUAAAAAAUUGCCAGUUUUUGCCAUUUAUUAAGAAAACUAUAAGGGAAAUCAAAAAAGUAUUUUUCCGCAAUAUAUCAACUAGAACGAAAAUUCUACAAGAAAGUGCCUGUAAAUUCUUUAACUGAAGCCAAAAUGCUAGAAAAGUUGUUAACUGACACAACAAAGUAAAUAGAUAAGUAAAUAAGAAAAUAAGUAAAAAGAAAAGAUUAAGUAAAUAGAUCAUUGCAAAGCCAAUACAAUUUUCGUUUCACUUUAAAUCUAAAGUUAUGUAUGGACGGGGAUAAUACACACAAACGAAAAACGUACAAAAAUAAAUAAAAAAACACUUAACAUCGUCAUUAGGUUUAAAGCCAAUACGUUCCUCACUACACUCAUACUUUAAUAAAAUAAAAAUUGUCAUUUGCAAAAAAAUAUAAUAAUAUUAUUUAAAUUAUUUAUUUGCAUUGCCGUGACAAGUUAUUGUGUACGGUAGCAAGUGCAUGGUGAACUGCACGAAUCGAACUUAUAUUUUCGUAUCAUUCGAAAAUCCCGUACACAAUAUAACAAUGCAUUGCAGUACUGCGUUUCGAGUUCACCAUACCAAUGUUCUAAUAUACGACCGAAGAAAAUUAUUAAAAAUGUAUACAACGAGCAAAUUGAACGUCUCUAAAGCGUGACGACGACAACGAGCAUGCGAUUUUGUAUAUUACAAUAUAGCGAAACGACUCGGCAAAAUUGUGUGCGCUGCAACGAGAUAAUUUAUGGCGACCACGGUGCAUUUUAUUUAUCGAUUCAAAUAUGCACGAUUAAAAAAAAAAAAAAAAAUGAAAACAACAUUUAAAUAAUGAAAUAAAUUCCUCUGUCCGUUUUGUCGAGAAAAUCGUGGUAUCUUGAACACGGUUUCAUUUCAAUUGUACAAAGAUAAUCUGUUAAACAUCUUUUUGGGUUUACCUACCGUUUUAUUGGUUUAUCGGUUUAAAGGUUUGUCGUUUGAAACUUACAGUUUUUUUUUUUUUUUUUUUUAAGUUUCUUGUAAUUUAUUCGUGAUUCGGAAACAUAAUAAUAAAAAAAAAACUCGCUGAUUUUAUACAAAUACGAUUUCAUUGGAAAUCUUGUCUGUAAAAAUAUAUCUGUUCAAUAGUUAUUCGUCGUGAAAAUACCGAAAAAGUAAAUUUCAAAUAAACUCGAUUUCGGUUUAUUUUUUUCAUUAAAUAUUCAGAGAAUUUUGUUCACAAUAAUAUUUUAUAAAUAUGACGUAUUGUAUAAACAUUUUAUUAUUGCAGAUAAGUCGAUAAAUAAUAUUUAUUUAGAUAUAAAGUUAAAAGAUAAUUUCUCUAAUUUCGUCUAUAGGCCAGAUAAAAAUAAUAUAACUUGUUUUUAAAUAAAUAUUUUUGAUAACAUUAUAGUUUCAGGAAGAUAAUAAUUCAAACGGUAGACAUAAUUCUGUAAAUGCAAAGGAUAUGUUACAGCGUCAUAGAAUGUAGUUAGGUUAUAAUAUCCUUAAAUUAUUUAAGUAUUUAUUGAAAAUAUCUAUACGAAGAUAAAGACAAGAUAAUAUGUUGGUUUUAUCUAGGUAUGGCAUACAGUAUAGAAACGUUAUCUGGAUUAUCUUUUAGAUUACUUUUUAUAAUCUACGGAUCAAGGGCGUCUCUGUUUUUUUCUAGGGAGUGGGGGUGGAAGUGACUUUUAUUUAUUUUUUAGAUUUGGACCGUAGCGAACUAAUUGGUUCAAAAAACAACAUUUUUUCCUAGAAAUUAAUUUUACUCCGAUUUGUCAAGGAUUGUACUUUUUCUGAUAUUAAAUUUUAUCUGUGUUGUUUAGCGAGGUCUUUUUUUACGUUUUCCAAAUGGUUAUCAUAAUAAUGGGGAAAAACCGGGACGACGUAGGAAAACACGAGACAAUUUACGUACAUGUAACUAUAAAAGAAACUUCGCUCUGGAACGUUUUUUGUUAGCACUUGGUUAUCGUCGCAUACACAUAUAAAUUGAAUUCACAUCUAUAGUAUUCUUUUUUCUCUUCAUCGUGCGAAGUAUGUCCACCUUCUUUCAUUUUUCGAAAAACUCCAAUAGUAGGUACAGGAAAAAAUGAAUUUAUUAAAUAUUAAUUUGAAAGUGAAAAUAGUGCUUGCUCCUUGCUGCAUAAGUUCAAUGUAAAAAUAUAGUUUCUAAUAUCAUGUACCAAGUAAUAACAAUUCUAUAAACGAAAUUCUUUAAAGUACUUCUAUUCUGCAAACCGAUCUAUUAUGUUUGAUGUAUCUAAUUCUACAUUACGAUACACACGCAACAGUGCCAAACCAGUCAGUUUUUGUCGUCUUAAUCGACUUCAUGACUAAGUUUUUAAUCCGAUAAAGGUCAAAGCAUUGCGUAAAACAUUACUAUGUAAAACAAGUGAACCGGAAAACGUCAUCUAACGUCAGAAUUAACAUACUGUUUACAAAUCGUUUAACUCAAAACAUGAAAUCAGUACCUGGGCAACGUCGAAAAACUUUACCACGAUUUUACGAUAUUCCGUGUACACCUAGUGUAUCGCAAGUAUGCACCAUAUUAAAAUUGAUACAAAUUGAUCAAACGAGUUGCCCAAGGGGAAUGGAGGGGGGUGUGGGGGGGGUGAACGCCCCUCCCCUAAAAACUACGACCUUUCUGCGGAUAACCCUAACGCCGCCGUUUACAUUUUGCAAUAUUGUAAUCGUAAUGAAUGUACGCAUCGCCCACCUAACCCAACGUAACGUGUGUCCAAAUGUGCGUUCGACAUUGCCGCGUCUGUCCGCGAAUCCCCCCCCUCACNCCCCCCCCCGUACGUAUAAUUAUAAUCGAUUUCGGAUUUGAUUUCCGACACGCGCACACGCGCACACGCGCGCACACACACACACACACACACACACACACACAUGCGCGUGCGCGCGCGCGCGUACCCGUCACGGUGCGGGUACAGUCCGACGUUUGUCGCAAACUACGUUAUUACACCCGCGCGUUGAUACGACCCCGCCGAUCGGAAUCUAUUCCGAGAUUUGGCGAAUUCGUCGCGUCUCCGUCUCGGUAAUAUUAUUAUUGUACGUUAUCGCGCCGUGCGUCCACAAAUAUUUUCCGUACGUACGGCUGUGCAGUCGUCGUCGCCGUCGUCGUUUAAUCCUCUCCCGGUCCGUGAAAUAUAAUAUAACAUAACGGCAAUGAUAAUAAUAAUAUUAUAACGGCAGGGGCGGUUCGGUAAUGCAACACAAACAACACUGUUUGCACUCCGCCGAGCAGACGGCCGGCAGUGUACGGCGACGGCGAUUCAGGUAGUCGCGGAGUCGAGCCGCGGAGUAGUGCCGUUAUUGUACACCCGCUGCGGGGCAUUAACGGUUUUUGAAAUCAAAGCGCGUAGUGCGGCGCAGGAGCAACAAGUCCGUCGAACGAACUCUCGUGCCUUCAAAGUGCCGUGCUGCGGAUGUUGUACCGCGUGCCCUAAGAAAAUUCCACUUGACGUCGAGUAAAAUAAUAACGUAAUAUUAUCACUGCGGUGUCGUUUUAUAUACUCGGUUGUCGGGUCUUUGAAGACUACAAUAUUGGCAUUGUGUAGGUGCGUCCGCUUAUUCGCGGCGAAUCGCGUAAUUGAAAAGCUGCUAUUUCCGACCAAAAAAAAAAAAAAAGCGGACGCGCUUAACACACCAACGCACCGCGGGUGUACUUAACACAUGCCUACUGUUGUAUUAGCGAAAAUCGUGUAAGGCGAGAGAGAUGAAUCGUCGUUGCAAACGGAAAACCGAUCCCGACUGAAGUUCGGUUCAACGAAUUUCAGUACAAAUUUUAGUGUAGAACUUAAUAUUAUGUUAGUUUACAUAACUCUGACAUAAAUAAGUGCAUUUUUUCGUGUUUUUUUUUAUCUUAAAUUUGUCACCGUUUUUUAUGGAGCCGAAAUAGUUUUAUCAGCAUUAAUCGGGAAACAGAAUGUCAUUUAUUACGGAUCUUAUCAGAAUCCAAAGUUACUAAAUUAUGUUCAAUUUUUUUGAAGAUCUCAUUGCAUUUACUAGACCCACAUUUUAUAAGUACCAGAAACUAACAUUAUAUUUGUUAAUCAGGCCAUGAUUUUUGGUAGAAAAUGAUUUAUGUUCAAAGAAGUAAACAAAACCAAAACCCAACACAUUCGUUGCUACGAUCAUAAUCUAAUAAACUCGAAACUGUGUUAAUAAAGCGGCUUUUAUGAGACCGAAAUUAUUCAGUUCGAUUGUGGUUUGUCGUUUUCUUUUUUUCUAAAAUGAGAAAACUUAUAAUAUCGUUCGCUCCUCCGUGAUUUUUUCAGCAUGGACAGCCAGAAGAGAUCAAUGAUAAAAAUAUUCGUUUAAUUAAAAAGAUAAAAUAAUAAUUUUAAAUCUAAAGCACCUAAAAUGCACGCACAGGUAUAAAGAAGAUUAUAAUUAUAAUUAUUAAACUUAUAUUAAGCAGUUAAUCAUAAUAAUUUCACAGAGUUUACGAUUCGCGAAUUGUGUUUAUCCACUUUUAUCGGUUAGUCACUUAAUUUCGAAAUACGCCAUGGACAUUGAUUAAAAUACAGAAUAAUAUUAUUAAUAAAUUUUACGAAACCGAAUCCUUUCAACGUCGUACAUACAUAUUUCGAAUACUUCGAUUUUUUAUAACGUCGGUUUGAUUUUUUUUUUUUUUUCGUAGUAUAGGUUGAAAAUAUCAUUAUAAUAAUAUUCCUUCAGGGUUGUGCACGGUUUUUAAUGGAGUAUUUAGGAUUUUUUUUUUUUUACGGGCGAGAGGAAUUAUUUUCCAAUGAAAGAGCCGUACACAGCGGUGUAACUCACACACACCAUAUUAUAUUCAAUACAUUCGCGUUGCGUAAAAACGAUUCACAUACAAAUUAUUUCGGCGUUCAUAACAAUCAUAACGAUAAUAAUACAACCGUCGGUCAUAAUAACCAAUUACUGAACCUCGCGUACACGAUAACACAUAUUGUUUAUACUGAAACGCGAAAUCGAAUUUUUUUUUUUUUUUUUUUUCAAAUUUUGCUUGUCCGGUGAUAGUGUUAUCGAGACAUUUUUCGAUGACGCGACAAUACCUAUAGUUAGAAAACAGUCACGUUUUAUAGUAAUUGUUAAACGCGAUUUCAAUGAACACCGCGUUUAUAGAUACUAUGGUGGUCAUCCGUUAUCCCACUUGAUACGAUUAAGUGUCUACCGAAUCGCAUACACCGGUCUCCGCGAGAAACCCGGCACGUCAUGCUCCGCGAAAAUGUAUAUUUUACCCGUGUAAUAUCAAAUGUAUAAAAUAAACCGUUGGUACGGCUCGUUUAAUAUUUCUUAACUCGACAUUCUGUCGCACGGCCGCGCAAUCGCCAACAACAUUGAAACCAGCUGAUUCGGGAGAUAUAAUCCGCUUAAUAUCUCACGUAAAACCUUAUCGUAGGUCAACGUGUAGUAUCGGAAAAAGAUUUCGUACACGUGCUGAAAACACUAUCACGUACGGCCCGUGUGACGAUAACACAAUUUAAUGAUGAAUAUUAAUAAAUAUUUUUAUUUUUUAUACUGGUCAUGAUUGCUCACGAGUAGCGGUUUACACUGAGAUGAUACAGUUUGCAAAACGUAUUUGUAUUUGGAUAGACAUUUUUUUAUCGUUAAUUUUAAGUGCCAAUAAUCCUGAAAAAUAUGAACUGAAUCAUUUGAUCUACGCUGGAUAUUGUUUAAUGCAGCCGAACCACAACGUGUGUGUGAUACAGGUUAAUAAAAGUCUAUGCAUGAAAAAAAAAUUGGAGAACAUUGUUUUCUAUCGUCCAAUUUAUACCCGAAGUCUUUUUUUUAAAAAAAAAAAUAAUAAUAUAAUAAUAAUAAUAACAAUGAUAAUUAUAACGUCGAUGCGUAUAUUAUGGCGAGGAAAUAUUAGGUAUAUCUACCCCCUCCUUCCCUUAUAAUAUAAAAUAUGCCACUGCAGUGCCGGCCGGAUUGUCAUUGUAAACCAUACGUAAUGAAAUUAUAUUUUAAUAAUAUUACCGUGUUCUGUCGGGACUUCGGGAGAGUAGUAUAACAGCCAAUCAACGUGCGGCUUUUACUUGUCAACGCCACCCCAUACGUAUUAAAUGGAGACAAAUUAAUGACUUUUUGUGUUUACUUUACUUUUUGUUUCGGUGUAUAUAUUAUUCCCGAACUGACUUUGCGCGAUACUGUAAUAUAUGUUCACGUUCGUGUCAAGGAAAAAAAGUAUUAAACAAAUACGCAUUUUUCUCACUUGUCUUGAUAAAUAUUUCGUGACUACAGAUACCUUUGCCUGUCGGUUAAAUUAAAACAUUCAUACAACUAAUAAAUAAACUCGCAGGGGUUAUUAUGUCUUUUCCAGUAUACAGGGUGAACUACGUACAUCAAGACAAUAAUAUGUUAAUAAGUAAUAUUAUCUCUCAGGGGUUGACUUUUUUUUUUUACUUAUUUUGUUUACAAUUUAACACACAAGCAGUUCUAAUACGUAACACGACCUAUAUAUUCAAUCGUUCUUAUUUUUAGUGGAGAGUAAAAUUUUAAGUGCGCUAUUUUGUGAACAGGAUAAUAGUAAAAGAAAACAAUUCAAAUAUUGUGUAUUGUGUCAUCGCACAAAUGAACUUUAACUAGUUUCUUCCUGUCCAUAAAAUGACAAACUAAAAAGUGUAAUGUUCCGUCAAUUGGCCGAUGGAAAAUAAAAAUUUCAUCGCCAGAAUUUAUUCCCAUUAAAACUUCAUCUAUUUCUUUAAUAUACAUAUAUAAAGUUUUUAAGUAUAAAACAGAAAUUAGUGGUGGUUUCAUCAUCAAAAACAAGGAUGACACAAAUUAUCGGUAAUAUAACAGUUUCAAUCUGUUUCUUGAAUAUUGUCUAAAAUGACAAAUUUUAAAAAUAGUUGAUACUCUCCAAGAUAAUGAGUGCGUUACGUUAUUUUUAUCACUCUGUAUGUAGAAAAGUUAAUAUCUCAUAAAAUGUAUGUUUUUAUUACAGUAAAUUAUAGUCCAUUAAAUUAUUAUUUUAAUUACAGGACAGGCAUAAUGAAUUUAAUUCAUUUAUUAACGUAAACAUAUGUAUUAAAUAUUUACUCGUGUAAUUGGUAAAAAAAAAAAAAAACCCGUAGCCAACCGAGCUCUGCUGCUAGAGUCAAAUUUCUCCCCAUUUAUUUUGUAGUAUUUAACUUUUGCAAAAUAAUAAAUUACCGAAUACUACAAUAUUCUAAUACAAUUGUAUACUAUACAACAAUACAAUACAAAACGAUACAGUUAUACUAAAAUUAUACUACUUCCAAAAAGAAAAAGGUGAAAUUUGAUCAUAAAAAUGGUAAAGGAAGGAUUUAAAAGUUGAAACCGCAAAAACACAUCUUCGAUACGUUAAAUAAAUGCCACGUGUAUACCAAAUUUCACAUAUCAGAAAACUCCUCCAUCAAAAAAAUGAUAAAAUUUAUAUUGAAAUAUUUAAUCUGACUUAAAUAUAAUUCCCUAGAUUAUUUGUUUCAGAUGAGAAAGCGUCACUAGACAUUUCCAAAAAGAGUGAGAAAAGAAUAUUCAUAAAACAGAAAUAAUAUAGUCACUAUAUCCGGGGGAAAUUCGACAAAAAAUGAAAUCCACUAUUAUAGUAAUAUUUUUGAAUAUUGUAGUUACUGAUUUUUUAAUUUAUUAUUAUUUUUUUUUAACUCAGACACACAGAAAUUAUGUUUAUUAUAAUCUUUAUAUUUAUUAAUUUACUAACGCAGAUAUUUCAAAAUUAAAUUGCGAUUUAGUUUAAAAAUAGCUAGGUGGAGUAUAUAUUUACAGGUUACUCGUAUAAUAUUAUACAAUUUAAUCAAUUGAAAUAAUUCAAAAUUAAUAUUCAAAUUUUUUUUUUUCUAAAAGCAAUUUUAAUAUUAUGUUAAAUAAUUAUUCGAAGAUUGACAAUCAUUAUCUGUCUUUGUAUAACAAUGACAAUGUAUAUAGAUACAUUGUCAUUGAAAAAGAAUUCCUUAAGUCAAUUUUUGGUAUUUCUUAUAAUUUUGUCUAAUGUAUUUCCCCCUCCCUUCUUUUUCAACCUAAAAUUCAUCGGUAAAUAUGUUUUGAUAAUUAGUGUGUGUACAAGUAAAAUAUAUUUUUUAAAAAUGUAGUUUCUUGUAUUGAAAACUAUAUUUUGUUACGUCAAAAUAUGGCAUUUUAUUUACCACAAAAACAGUUACCUACAGGUAUCUACCACCUACCAAAUUAUUUAUUAUUAACAUAAUUUAAAAUUAAUAUAAAUUUAACCAUACCGUUCGUUUUACCUGGAAUAUAUAUUAUUUAAACCCAAAAAUAACAUGCAAUUUAUAUUCGAUAUAAUAUGCGCAUAAUUAUAAUAUAGGUACAUAUUUAAAAAAUGCGUAGGUACCAACACAUUUUAGAAACAAUAAAUUGUAUUAAAACAUUCGCUGAUAUUGUGUUAUUGAUUAUAUUACCGGUGAUGCGCUGCAGUGUGUUGUGUAAAAUUUGUGUCAACGGGCCGUAUUUGAAUAAUAUAUAUAUAUAGGUGUGUACGAAUAAUGUGUGUACCAAUAUAAAGUAUUCGCCCCUACUUGUUUACUGCGUAAAUGAGGAAACAAUUUAGAAUACUCCUGUCUGAGGAUUCGGGGGCACUGCAGUUGGGAUUUAUCAUACUGAAUGUAAAGCGCAAUUAAAAAAUUAUCAACUUUGUGUAAAUAUUGAAUAAGUACGUCAAGUGCGGAAAACCGUUAAGAUAUCCAUAAAAAAUGUUUAAAAAUUAUGAUUGUCGUAAUUUCAUUAUGAAACUUGACUAAUUAAACUAAACGUUAAACAAUAUGUAUAAUAAAGGCUAAUUCAUAAUUAAAGCAUGAUAGUUAUAAUUUAUAUUUAUAAGUAAACAAUCGCAAGGCUGGACGAGUUAGCGAAUACAAAUAAUAUUAUUGAAACACAAACAAGUGAACUAACUAGGUAAAAAUUACAUGUUUUUUGUUAAUUGGCUUAUAGCCAUAAGAACACCACUGUUGUAGGCGGGAAGUUAGAAUGGUAGGUAACGCAGUUAUUUAAUUUAUAUCUCUAAGCAACGAUAAAUAAUUGAUAACGAAAAAUGAUUGAAUGAAGCAAUGUUCGUUUAUAUUUACACGAUUUAAAUGGCCGUAAUAUUUACGAUUUUCAUCUACAUCCGAUGAACGAAUAAGGGUGACGAAAAAUAAUGGAAAUAUUACAUUUGAAAUUGUCAACAAAAUGUUUUUUAAAAAAAAAAAAUCGAUACUCGGUGAAAUAACGAGUGUUUCGGUUACAUAAACACCCCAUAUAUAUAUAUAUACACGAGAUGGAAUUUGAAUUUGGCCCCUUAAUACAUUACUAUUAUACACGUGUGCUUUAUGUAAUAUUUUACUAAUACAAAGUAUUGUUUUUGUCGGGUUUCAAUAAACCGCGCUGUAUUUAUAUAUACGUGUGUAUUACAUUGUAUAAAGUAAGUUAAUUAAAUCUCAAAAUUGAUUAUGGCAGAACGCGAAAUUUAUUAAUUCGGCUCUCUGUUAUACCCACGCCGGGUUUACAAUGACAACGGGUGCGUUGAUAAUACACGCGCACAAGUAUAUCGAUUUGAUUACUGUGUAUAAAUUGUAAAACGCAUAUAGGAGUUAAAACGUUAGUUUGGCCGAAAACCGUGUAGCCGUUGAAACGCUAAAAAAAACCGAUAUAAAUGAACGAACGUAUCGACAAUUAGAUUCUGAGAGAACAGCGAGGAUUGGUUGAACUGCGUGUGCUGGUUUUAUUUUUAUUAUUAUUUUUCUUUCUAUGUACAACUAAUAUUCUCCUAGAAAUCUCACUUCGACCGCAAACUCCAAGGGCGGUUUCUGUGGGAAAAUGUUGUCUAGUGUGUGUGCACGGGAUAAAUGUAUUUAUUUUCCUUUGUAGUUUUCUUAAUAAUUGAGGGGGGAAAAAAAAACGACGAUAAACCCAGAAAAUGUACGUAAUAACGGUUUCUGUUAUUAUCGAUUUUGUUUGAUCGUUGAGUUCAAACGACAAAUAUCGUAAGAACACGGAAUUUUCACCGCACACUUAUUGUGUUUUUUCUCAAAACAGUGAAAUUUUAAACAGAUGAUUUUGAUUUUCAAGCUAUUUAUAGCCGUUUAAAAAUUGCAAGUUGUUUUUUAGUUUCUUUGUGGUUUUACGGACAAUUUUGGCCCACUUUUUUGUUUUCGCGUAACACGAACAAAACACAAAGUACCACAGGAUAGGUGACAGUAAAAUAUUUAUUUCCGUAGGCUAGUUCAAAAGUUAAUAACACAUUCAAUUUCUAUAUUUGUCGAAAAUAAAUCAUUUAUAGUUGGUAUUCUAUUCAGAAUCGGUUAAGAAUUUGUUUUUUUUUUUUACUCGGUACCGAGUUAUUUAUCUACGUGUUCAGAAUUUAUAAUUCAAUAUAUUUCCUUCGUUUCAUUUCCCGAUUCCCAACUUUUUAUUUUUUAUUUUUUAACGUUAUUGUAAUUAUUAUUGCCACCGUUAACAUUAUACCUCGGGCAAAAUAAUAUAUUUAUACUAACCGUCGACGGUGAAAAACGCAAAAAUUAUUAUGAUUUCGAUGACAUAAAUUCACUGGAAUAUAAUUAAAACUUUUUUUUUUUUUUUUUAAUUUCCCUGUUAGAAAUCUGAGAUUUAUAUAAUAAUCACCACGAUAUAAUAUGAUAUUCGCUUCACAGCAAACACCACAGGCCGCAGUUAUAGCAUAGUAGUUUACUCGCGAUUUAAUUAUCGAUAUAAGCAUUACGGAAACCUGCAGUUCCUUUAAUAGUGUUAUUUACGUCUACAGCCGUUAUACCCGACGCAAUGUUCCUUAAAACUUCCGUUUCUGAAUGAAACGAACGACCGACUAGACUUUAUAGCGAGUGUCGAAUUAAAAAGUCCCUGGCGGUUGGCUUUUUCUCGGCACUCUGGUCGUAUACCUACGUGGCCAUCGUGGUGUUUAACGAUUUAUAACUUUGUAGACCGACAGCUGCAGUUUUAUGAGCGUUCGCCGGGAUUAUUGUGCGCGAGCUGUUCGGUCUCGCACGAAAUUUUUCCGGCCGUAGGUUUCAAAUCCACGCGGUUCUAUAGCCGCUGAUAAUUUUCACGUAAAAAAAAUAUUUCGAACUACGCGUAUUGGUACACUCAUUCGGUAUAGACACGCGGAAAAUAAUCCACUACAACGCGAAGUUAAUCAAUUCCUAUAUUCGGUUAGGUAUUUUCUUGUCACGUGUAUAUUAUAAUUAAAUACGAGCUGAACAUUUUUAAAAAUAACACCGUGACGCUAGUGGACUUUUUUUAUUUAAAUACAUUAUGUCGGCAUUGGAUAUAUUUUUCUUCAAUGUUCAGCUAAUUGUCAAUGUGAUAAAGCAUUACUCAACGAUAAAAUAGUGUUUUUAAUUUAUCCAACAUGGCACUAUGAACGCGAAAAACGCGAAACUGCGCCUUUAUUUCACGUAGUCACGUUUUUACUUGUUGAAUAAAAAUCAAUGUUGGUGUAAUACGAGUAUAUAUUGGAUAUGAAAUGGCAAUAAUACAUUUGCGGAAUUGUAUUUCAUAAUACUGGUAGAUUUGCAGUCAUAAUAUUUUGAAAUGUGCGACGGCCUUGUAUUUUUAAAUCGUUUUCAACGUUACCAGUGCAAUAUUGCAUUUACUCAUAAAAGUAGGAUUUCAUAAAGCACUUUCGAGUAUUUGAAAAAGAUAAAGAAUUUUUAGGCGAGCUCGUAGUAGUUGUUUAGUUUCUAAAUAGUUUACGAAAGAAACUACGUUUUUCAAAGAUUUUUGUCUCUCCCUCCUACCCCUUCGCAAACAAUUAUUUUUUACUUGAUAAAAAUGCUCCGAUUUUGUCGGGAUAUACAUCAAAAUAAUAAGUGGAUUUUUUAGCCGCUGUUACUUUAUUUGAAACAAUUUAUCAUCAUUUUCAACUCCUGAUCACCCCUGGGUUCUUUUGUUUGGUUUUUAAAAUUUCUGUUAGUUUUUGAUUUACCUACCUUGAACGCAAUGCCAAAAAACGAAUAAUACACCGAUUCGCUAAAAAUCGUUUUCGGUGUGCAAUAGUUUAUCAUUAUAAAACAAAUAAAUAAUUGACUAACAAACUAAAUAAUCCAACUUAAUAGUUAUGUAUUAUCCGAACCUACCAAAUAACUACGAAUGCAACAGUGCCCUUCCCAUAACGACCGAAAUAUUUUCGGCUGUUAGAUUUUAAACGCAGCGGAGACUAUUGGUUUUACUAUGACGAGUGUUAAUAAAAAAGUUAAUUUUUGGUAUUAUUUUUUAUUUUUUGGCAAUUAAUUCAGGACACAUUGAACAGUUGUAAAAUGUUAUAUUUAUAUUAUUUUUCGGUCAUUCGUUUGUGUUCGGGGCUGAAACCACAACCGUCCCGCUUUUAAUUUCCAUAUUGAAAUCUCACUCCGUUCUCCACCUCCCCCCCCCAAAAAAAAGACGACUAAAUAACAACAAACUAUUUAAAAGCGCUUGUGUCUUAAAUUGCCCGAAAAAAAAGAAAAAAAAAAACGUUCAAAAAUUGUAAUGUUCCCGAGAUAACGAGUGACUUAUACCGGGGAUUAAUCACACUGUGUACAAACUUAAUUAAAUUCCGGUUUUAGGUGUGUGGGUAUUGUACGAAUAUUAUAAUUGUGCGUCGUCCCUUCUCGCGUUUUUUUCGGCCACCGGAAGCCGAACCAAUUAAUUCGCCGGUUUCGCGUGCGCGCCCUCUGCGUCCACACCCGCCCCCGCGUAUGCGCGCAGGAGCCCACGCGCUAUAUAUUAUUAUAAUAACCGCGUGCGUGCGUGUGCGUAUAUAUACACAUAUACACGUAUACGUACCUACGUCUAGGGCGAAUUGUAAUUUUAAUACCGCGCGUAUAUAUGUGUGCGCUACGGGAUUUCCGCCGGGAUAAGGUUAAUUAUUGGCGCUUUCAACUUGGCGCUGGGUCGCGUGCGCACAAUAUGUGUGCAGGAUUUAUACUUCGUUCCGGCCGGAACGACCGCGGACACGCAACUAUUAACUAAAUAUAAUUCGCCUAUGUAUGUAUGUACGGGUAUGUAGAGGUAGGUGCUUGCCAUACCGCUCUUCCGCGGAAACCCGCGACCGACUCUAAUUACUCACGUAAGCGUAUUCGCGGGAGCUGAAAAAAAAAAAAAAAAAAAAAAAAAAUAAAAAAACAACGACGUUUUCUUAUCUCGGCGGCUAUUUAACUUUCCCCCCCCCCACUCCCCGCUUAACCGCCGGAACCGGCGACGUCGAAUAAAACGCGUAAUACACUAUUACGGUUUUGAUCGAUCGCGUCAACGGGCCAGUUGCGGCGGAUCUAAACGACCGGCCAUCAAUCGGGGGCACAAUUCCGACGUCCGAUGUUCGGCUUCGUUUCGUUUUUAUAUUUUUGUUUCUGACCGAUAAUUUAUUGAAAAUUACCCGAAACCACGAGACCGUCGUCGUCGUCGGUUUCGAACGCGUGCGAUCGCGUUCGUACGCAAUAUAUUUAAUACGAACGAGAGAUUUAUGUAUUUCUGCAGGUUUUCGUUCUAUUUUUUUUUUUUUUUUUUCCCCAGGUACUGUAUUUUGCACGUCGUUGAAUCAUUAUUAUUGUUCAUUUCACUGCAAUGCUCGCACGCGCGUACAUCGCACGGUUUAGAAAAAAAAAAAAAAAAAAAAAAAAAAAAAAACAAAAAAAGUACUAACGAGUGUGGUGCAACUCGUAACUCGUAAAGCCAAAUUUUUAUUUUUAAACCACUGUUAUUAUUUAAAAUAAAUAAAAUAUAUUAGACUGUAUUACCAAAAAUUAUUUCUGAAUUCGCGUCUCGUGCAAGCUACGGUGGCGGGGGUGGGGGGUUGUGGUACGGCUUAUGUUAGCAAUGGUUCCCCAAACAUUUUGGCCUAAAUUGCGUCAUUAGAGACAGAGUGAUCUCUGGAGAAUUACGAGAAAAAUUCGCAUUAGAAAAACUAUAAAGUAUAAUAUACGUAACGGCGACGAUGAGUCGGAUAAUAUCUCAAAUCGGGUAUUUCUAAUGAAUUGUAUUUUGCUUAUUGUUAUUAUUUUUUGUAAUAUUUUAAGUACCUAUUCAGUUGUGAGUUUUUAUAAUAUGUCAAAGGGUUCAUCCCGUUAGUUCAUUAUAAAUAAACAAAGACGUGACUAUGAGACGAUGAUCUCAGAUAUCAGUAUUCAGAAGCAUUGUGGAUAAUGUACUGUUUUAUCAGACAAUAUUUUUUUUUUUUUAUUUGUAAAUGAAAACACCUGUCAGGGUUUUCAUUGAUGGCCGUCCCAUUGCUGACGUUUAUUUUAUAUAAAAGCGAUUUUCAGCAAUUUUUUUACAUAGAUAUAACGAUUUUAAACUAUUUUUUUCGCCCUAAAGCAUAAACUCGUACAAUAUUUUCUUUUUCUGCCUUUCUAAAAUCAACGUAAAUCAUAUACGGGUUUUGAUUUUCGAAUUGUAAAACGGAUUUUUUAAUUAAGAUCCGAAAAUAGAAUAUUUGGCUUUAAAAUGUUGAUAAAAUACGUAUUAUAUAACAUUUUAAAGUUUAGGCCGGAAGUUUAGUAAAGGGUUAUAAUAAAAUUGUAUAAUAUCAAAGUUAGGUAUGUAAGAAAGUUUCGUGACGGGAAAGUAUAAGUAUAAUGUAGUGAGUAUAAAUUAAUCCCCGCAUCGUCGUCACUAAAAGUGAUGAAUUUUUAAAAACUUGCAGAAUACACGCGAUUGCAUGCGUACAAUCUGUGAAAUUAUUAUCUGUAUAUAAUGGAUAUUCCAUUCCUUUUUCUUAGAUUCUAUGCCUAUGCGUUUUAAUAAAACUCGUAUAGUGAUUAUAUUUAUACAACUAUACGGUCUAUACACAAACUACUGUAUUUUUCAAAUUCAGCGAACUAUAUGGCAAAAUCGUGUUUACAGCUGAAAAAAUCUUAAAAAUUUGAAUUGGUUUUACAAUAUACGUACAUGAAGUUGGACCCCCCCCACUUUGGCCGAUUGCUUUCGGACAUAUUGUAAACAAUUGAAAAAUCCAUUGAAAAUUAUUGUAUUAUGUUAUAAAUUUUAAAAUUCGCCGGAAAGUUUUAAAAAUUGUACCACAUCUAAAACGCGCUAAUACAAGUAUAAUACGAGUAUUUGGUCAUAAUUUCAAUGUAAAACCGAAAUCGAAAAGAAUAUAAACCGUUCUUGCGUACAUAUUUUACCCGGUUAUUAAUUAUUAAAUUAUGAGGAAAGCCAAACAAUCGUCUUCUUGACGCGCCGAUUAGACAGACUUUGCUCCGAGGACCGAUUCAAUAGAGUUGACGACUGGUGCAAGAACUCUGGUGGAAAAAUGCGCGCACAGACAGAAUAAAAAAGCCCCAUAGUAUAUACAAAAGCACAAUGAAAAAUCGCAGAGUAGUUCGGGAUAAUAUUAUAUCGAUCGGCGUUUUUUCCUGUUAUUAACGUGUAACCUUUUUUUUUUAAUGACACAAAUUCAGGUUACGAAACAAUUGAGUCCAAAACACUUUUUUUUACGGAAUUCUCGACGUACCAAAGGACAUAGAAAUGCAAAAGAAAACCUACUGGGUAGAGCGUAAAAAUCAUUGCGACGUCGCCAUUUUAAAUUUUGAACUACGUAUUAUACAAUAAAUAUCAAUUAAAAUAAUUGUAAUAACACAAAAUACGGUGCGCGUCGAAAAAAAUCAUCGCGGUUCUAUUGUCAAGUGUCAAUGCACUUGUUUUUAUAAUAAGAACAUUAACAGUAAACGGAUAGUAAAACGAUCGCACUUGCCGGUUACCGCCUACCGCGAAGUUGAAAUAUAAUAAAACAAAAUAAACGUGUACGCACGGACAUCCGUUUGCCGUUCGGCUUGUACGCACAAUAGUAGAGAUAAUCACAGUUCGCACAACAUAUCCUGCGCUCGAUCGUGUUUUUACGGCAACGCUGUUCGAACACAAUCGACUUUCGUUGAUAACCGUCGUGUCGUAUUACAAUAUCGAUUGUAACGCGUUCAACGGACAAACUGCGAGAUUGAAAUUUACCGCGCGUGCAUAAAAAUUAUAUAAUAUUUAAUAUCGCAGUACGUAGCUGUAGUGCACGUGAUCUGAUUCGCGUACACCGCGACAGCAAGACCGUCUCGGAUGUUGAAUUUUUUUCAAAUCUGUUUAAGGAGAAAGAAGAAUGAAAAAAAAAAAAAACCCCCGAAUAAAACGAAAUGCGUUAAGCAGUUUAGAGUUAAUGAAUCGCGGAAUAUUAAAAUACUAGUCCGGAUAGAUUGAAGUGGAUUAUCUCCGUAAGCGUAAUUUCAAAUUCAUUUGGCAGAUACCUAAUGUACUAACUACCUAAACCCGGUUUUCUGGCCUCGCAGAUGAAACACAAGUUUCGCAAUUUAAAACCGGGGAAAAAAAAACAAACGCCUAAAUGAACUUUCUUAAUCAACGUAGGCAUAUUAAAUUAAAUAUAUCCGUUUUAUCUUACCGAGUGUAGUUCUUGGCGAACAGACUCUUUGAAAUAACGUCCAUUCCAAUGUUUGAUGGUGGUACCCGUUUUCGGAUCACGCCACAGCGAUCGAGACCCUCGUUAUUAUUUCGGAAUACCCACUCGCGAUGAAUGAAAAUUGACGAGGAUCGUCCGUUACUGCGUUAUUAUUUUGAAAAAACAUUAUUAAAUCGUACACAUUUAAAACCAUAUUGAAUUAUUGUUAUCGUUAUUAAUUUAAAUAUGAGUGUAGGCUGAUUGGUAAUGCUAAUGGGCGUGCCGCUUUUUUAGGAGAGAAGUUGAUAUCCUUCUGUAUAUUGUUUAGAGUAAUUAAAUUUAUAUUGGUAUGCAACGUUAAACCAUUGCUUAGGAAAAACGAUUCUGAGAAGAGUAUAAUUAAUCGUAUUCUUACCCUCGUUGACAUAACUGUGUUGGUUACACAGAAAUUAACAAAAUGCAUGUAAACAAUUGCUAUUUUUUUCCCCAUUUUCAGGAAAACUACGAGGCAAACUAAAAAAUACCCUUCUCGAUGCACCGAAAAAAUCAUCAAUUCUGUAAGAAAGUUCCUCUACGGUAUGCAGAACAUUUUUUUACAGAUAGAAAAAAAAUCGCACACAUCGUAGUUCGUAACAAAUUAUAUAGAUUUGAAAAAUGUCCAGUUAACUAUUUGCAAAUAUCACAAUAUUAUUUCAUUUAUUUUAGUUUCUACACAUCGUUAACAUAAUACACAAAGCUAUACUGAAGUAUUUCGAAAUUGUACAUAGGAUUUUAGCUUUUAGUUUAAACAAGUUUAAAAAACUUUGCAUCCUCGCUGAGUAGAUUUUUUUUUUCGACCUAUAGAAUUUGUAACUUAACUAUAUUAUCCAUAACUAACGAGUAAAAUUUUGAUGUAACCACGUAUCGAAUUAUAGAUAAUAAUCGCCAAGAACAAAAUUUAUUUUUACUGUAAUAGAAAUUGUAGGAAAAUAUAACAAGAGUAAAUUACAGCCAACUAUAUAAACGGCUAAUGGAAAAUACAGCAUUAAAAAAAAAAUUCAUAUCAUAUUUAAAUGCAAUUUAUUCGUCCGGUCAUAGAUGUAUUAGGCCGUAUUUUCCUGUGUUCGUUCGUAUACUUGGCCAUAUUUUACGUUGGUAAUUUUAAUAUAUGGACAUUUUAAAAAUACACCAUUUCAUACAUUGUAUUUUAUUCAUACCAUAAUUUUUGUAGAAAAAUGUGGUUCAAAUAAAAUAAAAUACUAAUUAUUAGGUGAGGUUAGGUUUGGUUAGACUAUAAGUUUACAUGUACCUGCAAGUUGUAUGAUUUAUUUUGAUUUUUGUUAUAAUUCAUUUGUAUAGUAAUUGAUUUUUAUUAACUGAACUUAGUAACUUAGUUCAAUUACUAAACUUAUACUAAAAUUAAGUAGACAAUUCACCCGAUUCUAGUUAUUCUUGGUUAUUUUUUAUAAACUGUAAUUUUAUACGUAGUUUCGUGGAAUCAGUUACAUGAUUAAUUAUUUUAAUUCUUUGUUGCCGAAUAUCGAUAUGCGAAUUCUGCAGUAACGUUUUCAACAAUAAAUAAAGUUUGAUAUAUUCAAAUAAUAAAUGUAUUUGUAUUUUGAAUCACGUAAAAAAAUCUGAAAUCACGGUCUUGAAAAACGAUCAGUCUUCGAAAGCGUAAAAAAAAGCAAUUUCAGAGACCAAAAACUAUAACGAACGCGCACAAUCCGCGAACAAAUGUUUCCUUAUAAUAUAGUAUCACGCGCCACUGAACGCAUUUCACUCUGAGCCCCUUUUUUUUCAAACGGAAUUCAAACAAUUGAUUUCUAUCUUGUCUUGGAGCAAAUCAGUUAAAGUUAUAAUUCGAUUAAGAACAUAAGCUAUACAGUGCACAUUCGUAUUAAAAAAAAAAAUAGGUUUGGACGGUCAAUUAAUUAUUUUACCUUCUAAUGUAAUCAUUUGUAAUCGAAAUAAAGCAACUAAAUUUGUACUAAUAAUACAUUGUAUACACAUAUAUUAUACAUUAUACAUAUACAACGACAACAUCUGUGCUUUGUCUGCGCUUUUUUCUUCUAUAGUUAAUAAUAUUAUAAAAUAAUUUAAAACUAUUUUUUUUUUCGAAAUUUUAUGCAUACGUACACACAAAAUCGGGUGUACCUAAUAAAUUUAUCGGAAAAAAUGAAAACACUGUAAUGAUAAAAUAAUAUUAAUUUUAAUAUAACGUAAAAUUAUUGAUUAUUAAUUUCUACCGUAAUCUGUGCAAAAUAUUUUAUAGAUUUUAUUCAGACUUUAUACGAUAAUAUAUGUACAUAAGAAUACGGGACUAUUAUUAAUAAUAUUUGAUAGCGAAUUAAUUUUUUCCCGCAAUUUCGUUAAAAUUGACACUGUUAUUUAAACAAUAUAAAUUGCCAUUAUCUGCUGCACGGCCACAAUAUUAUACAGAGUGAUUGUUUUAUAAGUAAUUUCCUCGGAGGAUUUUAAGGGGAUUUUUAUUAAGAUUCAACCGUUACGGAAUCGUUUAUUUUAACAUUACUUUUAAGUGUAUUUAUCUGUUCUUUAUUUCCAAACACCUUUGCCAAGUACACCUACCAUUUGAGUUUUCAAAUGACAAUCCUCUUAUUUCAAAACACAGAUUGGAACAAAGGAUAUUUGUUUAAAAAAUGUCGAUAUGUAUGUUACUAUCCAUUAAUAUCGAACAUUAUACCAUUUAUGAAGUAAAACGUUUUGCAAUUUUUUCCGAGAUGAGUAGAACAAUAUUUUUUAUAUAUAUAUAUAUGUUAAAGUAUUUAAACAGAAAAACCAAAUUAUAUUAUCACAUAACGAGUAAUAUUUAAAAACGGCGUUAAAAUAAAAGAACCUAAAUAAAUGAAAGAGACGAAAACCAAAUUCACGUAUAAUUAUUAUUUUAUUAAUUGAAAACUUGAAAUACUCCGAGAAAAUCGCAGGACACGAUGUAAAAACUCAUCUUAAAUUUUCACAACGGGUGUGAAUUGCCGAAAUUCGAUAAUCCGGAUUUUGAGAAAACAAAAUCCAGAAAUGCGCAUAUUUUAAAUAGUAAUAAUUACACAUUUUCUUAAAUAUAUAAAAUUAAAAAUAUGAUGCAUAAUAGAUUUUUAAAAAUAUCGAAAACUCGGCAUUGAAAUGUUCGUAUUUUGAAGUCCGAAAUUCGAAUUUCGUUGUCUAAAUUGCGGAUCUUUCGGAUUAUCCUGAUAGCUACAAUACGUUAAUCACUAUUUGUUAUAACGGUAAAUUGACGUUGGUUAUAACACCAACAACAACAAUUAAUAUUGGCGAACGAAAAACUUAAAAAAAAUAAUGUUUUUUUCGUAAUAUGAAUUCGAUCGAUACGACUAUUUGACGAGAUGAUGCUAAAGCCGACGAAUCAUUCGCUUUAUUAUACCGCGAAAAGGACGAAGAUAAUAAAAUUAUAUAUGAUUUGUGUGUUAUAUCACAUUAUUUGGCCCGCGGCGUUUGAGGCGCGUAUACGAACACACUCUCGAUUGAACUGUUAUAAGAUCCGGGAAAUCAUUUUAUAUUUUCGCCCCGUUUCUCUACCACACACACACACAUACACACACACACACACAUACACACUCUCUCUCUCUCUCUCUUUCUUUCGUAAUCUCGCGUGCUAAUAUAGAAAGAUUUUGCGAUUCGUAGCACCGAGUAAACGAGAAACUUCCCGUGAUCCGUUUCUCGUGUGUGUGAAGUACAACAUGAAAAUAGAUGAACAGUUUGAAAAGUAAGGUAUACAGAUAGUAAUUUAAUUUAUAUCUGUGUGUACAAAACGAAAAACGUUUCUCAGCGAAGUUGUGCUAAAUAUAUAUUUUGAAAUGCCAUGGUUAAUACGAUUUUCGUCAAAAUUUAAAACAAUGUUAUUCGCGUGAAACCAAACACGUUAGGAAAGUCCAAUCUCCGAACGUAUAAAGUUCCCGAUUUUUAACUGUUUUAUUAAACAAUAAACUAUAUCGUUCAAUACCCGAUUUAAAAAAAAAAAAAAAAAAAAUAACUAAAAAAAAUUCACAAACCUAAUAUGCUUCAUUGUAGAGAAAUUCCAACAUUAAAUAGAAACAAUAAAUGUUAUACAUUAAGUUAAUAAGACAAUAACGGUAGUCUACUAAAUACCGAACGUUCGUUUGAAAAUGAAAAUAAUAUUAACAGUAUCUUUCCUUUAUCAACCAAAUCAACAGCCGUAAAUAUGUACUAGUAACUAUGUGGAUAGAUGGACGGACAGACGUAACGGAGAUAUUGGAUAAAGUUAUGUUAAAUCUAUGCUUGGACAUUUAAUAAAAAAAAAAAAAAUAACUAAAAAAAAUUCACAAAUGUAAAUGUUUAUAAAUAACUCGAAUAUCGCCAAAGUCCGUUAAAAAUUCUGCUUCUAGAAAGUGUUCUUCCAAUAGAUUUGUUUAUUUCAUUACGUUUUUACUCUAUUACAAUAAAACAGAUAAUAACAAAAAUUGAUAUUAUUUUUGCGUAAAUAUGCGUGGUUUUCAACGGUUUUACAUUAUUGUUAAGGAAACUAAAGACAAACUAAAAUAUGGCCACGCUAGUCCCCGUGUACCAAAAUCAAACAAAAUUCGCUACCGGAAACCGCUCAUAAAGAACGGAGCGAGAUUUCUGGUAGAAAUCUUGUUGAACAAAUUAACAUGCAAACAUUGUAACAAAAAAACCAAUACACUAUUCGCUACGGUCAGAAUCUAAAACGGCCAAUAACCAUUGUAUAACAUUAUCUUGAAGGCACGUCAAAAUUCUACCUACCACGGGUCGUGUAAAAGGACACUGAACGGCCGUCACGGAUAAAUUAUAAUAUUAUUUUAGGUAAAUGUGUUUUUUAUCUAACGCAAGCAAAUUUCGAUUACCCAUAUCAUAUUAUAUAAUUAUUUAUUUGUUUUUAUUAAAACAAUGUUUUUUUUUUUUUUUUUUCCAUGGGUAGCGAACGAAAUAACUUUGUUUUUGUUUUUUGAGCGACCAUCAUUGCGCGGUGAUUGACACUAUAUAGAGUACGGUCGUGGGCCGCAGAUGGCAUCGAAAUGCCAAAGGUAGGUCGAUGUAAUGAUUAAUCGUAAACCGUCGGUUUCAGGCAAUUAUUCAUAUAAAAAAAUAAAAAAAAAAAAAUAAAAAGUUCGGUAAAAGUUUUUACGACGCUGUUCGCAGCCCAUCUCGUUUACGAUCAAUGGAGAGGGUCGAAAUAUUAUUAUAUAUUAUGUACAGUAUUAUAAUGCGAUCCAAAACCGUCAGAGACAAACCUCGAUCGUUAAUAUCCAUCGUGGGCGGCUGCGGUGACGGUUGUUCUAUGAAGAUUUAAAAUUCUUGAUAAAAAAAAAAAAAAAAAAAUCAUUGUUUUUGUCGUGAAGUUAAUGGGAUUAAUGGUGAAGCGGUGUGAAGGUUGAAUGUGUAUUUGCUUGCCGUCUGCAGAAAGACUUUUGCGGUGCGCUGAAAUGUUUAUAACACAAGCGUAAUAGUGAAGCAAUUCGGCAAUUAUAAUUGCAAUAUGUAUUUUAUAAAAUACAUCAGUUACCGGUUUUUAUUGCGCAGAUCUGAAUCAAAUCGUUUCCUUUCCCAUGAUUUUUAUAAUUAUAUUCGAGUUCUGAACAUGCUUCGUAAUUAAGCGCAGUACGAUUUCGCUGGCGCGCGUGUUUGUUUAGUUAUGCUAGUGUCGAUAUCAAUUUGUGAUUGAUAGUUGAACAUGAUAAUUUAAUACGGUGGGAAAAUUACGUCGAAAAUCUGCGGUCGCGGUUUCGUACUCGCAGUCGUAAGUACUUAAUCGUACUUCAUGAUAUCGGAUACGAACGAGUGUAAAAUAUUAGCUAUUAGUCGACAAUUUAGGGUUGCAUCGCGAACAAUAUUUGUUUAACAAAAAUAGUUGGAAAAAAAAAUUGUUGACGAACGAAAGUUUUACAAAACGAAACGGAAUGGUUUAUAAAAAGCGAGGUUUAUUAAAAUUGUGGCCUAUAUUACAUCACGGCCGGACUUGAUUAUUCUGAGCUUAAGACAGUAUCAUCCCUUGAAUCUCGACCCGUCGUUCUCGUUUAUGAUAAUACGCCGACCUGCAUUGUCGAGCCAGGCUGUUUUCCAUAAUAAAACGAUCGAGUCAUCGUCUCAAUUAUUAUUAUAACGGCUUGCAGGACGCCGCGCGUUUCUUCGCGAACAAAGGCCGAAAAAAAACAAUACGGAAUAAAAUGCUUACGUUAUUCGAAUCGAUUCAACUCGUCAAACAAUCCGUUAAAAACACCGACGCGUUUUAUUCAAGAGAUCCGAACGACACGUAUACUAAAUAUAACGAGUGACAAAAUACAAAAUGUGGACUUUAUUGGAUUUAUAAAUUGAAUACUUAUACUGAAUUUCGGUCGAAUUCUCCUGUUAAGUAGAACUAAAAUGUUUGUGUUAUUAUUAGUGUGCAUUUUAUAUAAUAUCAUUAUUUAUUUCGUGUAUUCACAGAUUGCAGAGUAUUGCUUAUCAUUCCGAUCGAGGAUUUAAAAAAAAAAAAUAAAAUAAAAUAAUCACACCUGAAAGUCUAAACGAUUAUAAGAACGAAUUAUUACACUACGUUCGACCUCAUUUUACUUCUAUGUAAAACUUGUGAUAAACAUUGUGUUCAAUUUUUGAACAUUUUUGCGUAAUUAAAACAAUUUUAUCCACACAACACAAAAUAAAAACUAUAGUAACUCAACAAUUUUAUAUAACUAUACAAGUAGCAGCAAAUCGCAGUAUUUUUUUAAAUUGUGCCACGUGUAGAAUAUGCUCAGGUGUUCGAUGGAAAUUCUCAGCUUUAUACGAUUUUUUUUAAAUUAAAUUACAGCAAUAACUAGAAAUCGAAAAUAACAGUAACGUAAAAAGUUAUUAAGAAAACUAUAAAAGGAAAAUUCAAAAGAGUGCUCACAAACACACCGACUAGACAAAAAUUAUUACCAAGAACCAUCAAUUAACUUGAAGAAGUUGUUUAGAGACACCAAAACAAAUUCAAGAAAAAACUCAACUAACAUUUAAACCUAUACAUUCUUUUUUAUGCUCCAAAUCUAAAAAAAAAAAAAACAAAUUAAAAUGAGCAAGAGUUGUAGUCCACCAAUGUACAGUCUGUACUGUACGUCCCGGUUCGGAAAACAUUGUUAUGUCGACCAUAUAUAUAUAUAUAUAAUAUAUAUCUCCGGAACCAAAACGAAAAUAAAUCCCUCUCCUUCUUAACCGCCCCUCUCAUCUACCCUCCCCGUCGAUCGUCUAAUACUACGUGAUGUACGGCGAACACAUACGUGCGAUGAUAAACGAUCGUCCGAUGAUUAAUGGACGUAGGCACGUCGUCACGCCGCUGGCCGAUUUCCUGUUUUUUGGAUACAAUAAUAAUAAUAAUCGAAAUAAAAAUGAUAAUAUAAACAUUGACUUUUUCGACUGUUCCGUAGCAAGAUCACCCCGGGAAAACACGCAAUAACUGCCAAAAACAUUACCCUCCGAGUUACUUUCGGCGAUUUUCCAAGACUAGAUGGAUCCUCGUAGAUACCUAUCCCGUGUCCGAUUCGUCAUAUCCGAUAUACUGGCACGCAACCGUGACAAUAACUACACAGCGACAAGCUUUAGAGCCGUCUAAUAAAAUACACCUAUAGGGUACGUUUUCAUCGAAAACGAUAGGUAUAGACCUAAUACGAUCCCGUGCAUAAUAAUGUCUCUCUCUCUCUCCCUCUACGCGCGAGAUGAUUAAUGAACGUACACGUCAUAAGCCGAGGUUCGAUUUUUUUUUCCUGGAGAGCGCAAUACCGAUAAUACUGAUAAAGUUGACUUUUUCCAUCGGCCUAUGCUAAUUUCAACGGGUGGGGAGAAGGUUGCCGAAAAUCUUCCUCCGUCGGUUUUGUCACGCGCCGGCGGCGGUUGAUCGAGAUAUUAAGCCGAAAUUCAAACACUUCACAUUAAAUAUAAUCGUAACGUUUCCAAGCAUUGGAAUAUUUAUAGUUUACUGUUUUCAGGGGUAAAUAAAUCGAUAUCAAUUGAAAGAGAUUGUGCCAGUCGGGGGCAGUCACGUAAGAAAAGAUUCAAAAUUUUAUUCUCACCGUGAAACUGUACAUUAUUUUUUACACGAUUUUAAUUUUAACCGUGCUUAUUAAUCUAUCACCUCCAUAUGACUUAUUCAUAUUCAUAAUCAUUUUCAUAGAUCACAAUAAAAAUAUAAAAUUAUUUUGUCCAUGAUGGCCCAUAACUAGUGUUAUACCCUAUCACUCGAUAUUUUUCACAAACACCAAAAACAGAGGGCAAGGAAAGUACAAUACGAUAUUUACUAAUACGUCUGUGGUAGUGGUGCCGAUAAUUUUAGCUGAAAUAACUCGCGAAAUUACCCCUCUUCCUCCAAAAAGAAAAACACCGAAACCGAAAAUCUCCCCGAAUAAUUGAAAUAAAAUUGUAUAGGUUUUGUCAUAGAGCAAGGAUACCAGUUACCAUUAUCAUCAGUCACAACGCGUCCGGAAAAAAAAAAGAUUUUUAAUUCAAAGACCGUUUAUAGUUUAAUAAGUGUAUUAUACGAACUGUAUUCUUGCAGCCGCACGAAGAUAGAAACGUAAAAAUAAUCUCGCUUCAACGCUGCUUGCUUUUAAACCGUAGACGGAUAAUAAAUUUAAUUCGUAAAAUAAAUUCGAACGUCGACAAAACACCGUUUGUAUAUAUUGUAUUGGUAUCAUUGACGCCGACAGCGUCGUCGGCACGGUUUUAAUUCGAAAUGUACGGGGGGAAUAUCAUUACUAUUUACCGUCUGCGCGGUAGGCUUGCGCCGAUAGUGUAGUGUCGAACGAUCGAAAGUUAUUCGCGUUGUUUGAGACGUGUUUUAAUUUCGAAUUGAAUAUGUAUACCCUGUGUUGGCUGAACACGAUAUUAUUCCUGCACGAACGAUAUAAUUAUUGUGAAACUUCAAAAACAACUACUGCUCAAGACAAUGUGGUAUUUGUGAGAAAGGAAGUCGAGUCGCACGACACCGUAUACUUAAAUUAUAAUAAGAGAACGCGUCGCUCUCCCUCCCAGUUAUCCCUCAGCGGUACUCGCGAUCGUAAUAUACCUGAAUAAUUUAAGUCGCGACAUUUAACCACCGUCGUCGUAAAAUAAAACGACAAUCGGUGCUCUGAAAAAAAAAAAAAAAAAAAUUAUAAAAUUUUGAUUUUAAAGAUUCGUCAAAAGCGUUAGGUAACUAUCAAAUUAGUUUCAUUUACGAGCGAAAGACAAAAUAAACACCGAUCUGAGUUUGUUCCCUUUUUAUUCACGCGACGUACCGAGACGAUUUAUGAGAGCCUUAUGAGGGUUUUUAUCUCGAUAGAGGUCCUCGACUGCUUACGCCGAUAAGGAUUUUAUGAGUAUAGUCCGUUACUUUGUCUGAGAGUAAGACAGUUUUCCCCUCCGUGGUAACAGUCAAGCGACUUUCCACGGAAGAAAUAAAGCGGUUUCUCCCCUAGUUGUGACCGAUCCGACAAAAAAUCGAGUGUUAUGUUCGAUUAAGUUCCGACACGAGUGACUCCCGGACGAAUCAAUAUUGUAAUGUUUUUAAAAAGUAGGUAAACGCUGCUCGUUCGUUCUAUCUGUGUACUGCACUUAUUUGUGUAUUACGGUAUGACUUCUCGAACUACAGUAGUCGUCGGAAAAAAAAAUGUGAAAAGAAACAAUGGACAAUUGUUCGGCACGCAAAAGCGAAAAAAACGAACGUUUAAAAAAAAAAAAGUACAAAAAAAAAAGGGGGAAUUGUCCGAUUCUGACGCAGUCACGAACAGUUCAUAUUAUUUGUAUACUUGAUAAUAACAAUACUUAUAAACCUUUCCGUAUAAUUAUCGUGAAUAUAUUUUCACUAAAACACUAUGGUUUAAUUAUUUUCGAUAAAAGCGGUCCUCUAUUUCUAAUUUUACGAUUUAUGUUUCUAAACAUACAUUCAGAACAUCUUGCAUCACCGUCGUGUCCGUCCGUCCGGACGUUUUUACGAGAACACAGUUACAGCCGUUGAUAUGGUUCACAUGGACAUGUUAUUAAUUUAUUAUCGAUUUGAAUACGAGGAGCAACGUCCGAAAAAAAAACAGACAUCCGUUCUUCCGCGCGCUACCCACGGUAUUAAGAUCAACGGUAUAUGGGUACGUAAUAUUGUUAAUAUGACAAAAUUGUUCGAUUACUCUGUUCUUCUGUCCUCAACGAGAAAUAAUAUAUUUUCCAUUCCGGAUGAAAUCAACUUAAAAAAGGUCUGCUAAAGCCUUUACCCGUCUUCCGACGGCGGGACGCCUUGGUCAUCUGACCACAAUAUGUACGUAGUAUUAUAAUAAGAAAAAACAUCUCUACAACAUUUCCUUGGAUCGCUCGGUAUUCUAUCGUAAAUUUUUACAACUCGAAAGGUGGUGACCAUAUAGGGCCAUUUUUUUUUAGCCAUUGGACCACAAGCAUGGAUUGGGCCGAUUGAAGGUAAUCCCGUUCCGGUCGUAAUUUAUGCGUGGUUGGCGCGCCUGCAGAGCCCUUCUUGUUUACCCAUAUUGGGUUAAAUGUUAAACCAAAACUUUUCCCUACUACAGCCCUGGCAAGGGUGAAAUCACGUGCCUACCUAAUUACACUUUUAUAAAAUGUUCUUCCACGUUUUUUAUUUCAUUAUUUUUUUUUUCAGGUCUCCCGGAUUCACCUGACGAAUUUAUCGAGUUUAUACUUCAUUAGGUAAGUGCUUUAAAAACAUUUUUUUUUAACCCUAAUU